UACGUAGGGUGCGAGCGUUAAUCGGAAUUACUGGGCGUAAAGCGUGCGCAGGCGGUUCGACAAGUCCGAUGUGAAAGCCCCGGGCUCAACCUGGGAAUGGCAUUGGAAACUGGCGAGCUUGAGUGUGGCAGAGGGGGGUGGGAAUUCCGCGUGUAGCAGUGAAAUGCGUAGAGAUGCGGAGGAACACCGAUGGCGAAGGCAGCCCCCCUGGGCUGACACUGACGCUCAGGCACGAAAGCGUGGGGAGCAAACAGG
RNAcentral lists this ribosomal RNA (255 nucleotides) under uncultured bacterium. Its description in RNAcentral is "partial 16S ribosomal RNA". It matches the Rfam family "Bacterial small subunit ribosomal RNA", at positions 524 to 776 of the family's 1533-position model. The record is from RNAcentral.